CGGGGCGCGCGGCGUGCCGCCUAUCUUACGGGACCGCGCGCGGUCAACAACCCGAGUAAGGCAUUUAACAGAGUCGGCGCGACAUGCAUGUAAUACGGAGUCUAUCUCGCUACGCGACAUUACUUUCAGUAUUGAAUAACUCGGUGAUAAAGAAUCGUACAGCGCUCAGUAAAUACGCAAAUUAAGGUAAAGAUUCACGUUUUGGUAUGCUGUAAACCGCAUUUGUAUGCGAUUUUUAUUUCACGUCGUAAAAUGUUGCAAAGUUUGUAUAAAAUUUUAACGUUUGACGGAUUUUUUUACGAAAUUUGCAAAGCUUUACGGUGUAAAAUAAAAGUCUUACAAAAAUGUGGUUUACAGCAUUCAAAAAGCGUGAAUCUUUAACUUACGUACUAGUAGAGGAUUGUACAAUUUUUAUCCACCGACUUAUUCAACAUUGAAGCAAGAAAGAUCAUUUUUACUUCAGUGUUGAAUAACUCUAGUUUAAAAUUCGAAAUAAUAUUCAAUAUACAUACGAUGUUUUAGACAUUCCAAGAAAUUUGGUUGUCACACGGCCUUGGAGUUCGUUGUUUUUGUGUAUAGCGCGUUGUGCUUACGCAAGGUCACAGCGCUAUCAUUCGUGUUCCGAAACUUGAGCGAACAGGUAGCGGUGCGAUCCGCUCCGUGAUAUCUCACAACAUAUCAAUUGGAUCAUGUACUUGUAUUUUUGAAUGGUCCAUCGCGUUUCAAUUAAUUAUUAACUCUGCUUUAUUAAUCACGUCGUACUGUGUGGUGCCAAGUUAAACCCGCCGGCUCUGUUUUUGAAUUAUUAACGAAAAGCCGCAGAUCCAAACGUCAAAUAGCUUCAUAGCUUAUUCGCGCGCGUAUGAUAAUGCUUGGAUUUUCUCGUCGUAAUAUAAUAAAAUAUUUUGUGAUUGUGUGACGUGAACGUUGAGAGUGCUGUACCAACUACUGCACGAUUGUCUAUUCUUUACCGUGAUGUGUAAUUAAUCGGUGUUUUUGCGAGUGAGUGUGAUGCCCAUGGACAUAGAAAAUAUAUUUCUAAAUAUAUUUUUAUGUCCAUGGUCGUGUCUCGAAAAAACGAGAGAAGAGAAGGAAAAGAUUCAGGACGGCAUCGGGUGUCGGUAGACCAAUCCUAGAGGUGAGUUGUCUGCUAUUUAUAAUUAUAUCUGUUACUUUCGUAAUCGUUUGUAAUUAUCUUACGCACGCAACUGUACGCCAGAGAAUUAAUUAUAAACAAAUGUUGCUAUAAUUUGAAUCGUGUAUUUGUAUUUUACAAAAAUUAAUGUGGCGCGUAGUUAUAACUCCGCUUCUGCGACUCGUGUCGGCGAGUGAAAGAAAAUUAUUUGUUCUAUGUUGAAGUAAUAAAUUUGUGAAAGAAUAUUACAGACAAAUGUAACUUUAUUACAUAUUACAAUAAAAACAGGCCCGCGCGUAGCACGUGCUACAAAGCUUUUAAUAUUACAUAAUUUCGAACAAAUUACAAAUUUAAUAUUACACUAUUAACUCGUGAAUACACAUAGUCAAUAUAUUCGACUUUUGCGAUGACAGCCGUUCUGAAAGUUAGCGCAGCGAGAAAACUAAUCGGCAUCGCAGAAAAGCGACAUUAACAUUGACAUAUUUGACAUACUUAUUCUUUACAUGCUUUUUUUAAAAAAAAGGGAUGCUUUUUUUUAAAAAGGUUUCCAAUUGUCUAUCCAAAUUUAAAUAAAAAAUUAUUUUAUAAAGGAAUUUUAAAAAUUUGUACUUUAAUAAUAUUUAUUAAAACUAUGAAUAAUAUUCAACAAACUACAUAAUUAUUCUUUGAAAUAUUAAUUAUUUUGAUCGUUGCCAUAAUUUAUGUUAUAAUUGUAUUUUAUAGAUUUACAGGAUCUGCGAAAAGGGGAAGGCCAGGAAGUAGCAUCGGGCCCCAGCGGAGCAACCUUGGAUAAUCACCGUAGCUUCGUGGCUGAUUAUAAUUCCGCUCGUCGCGCAUUGGGUCGGUGAGUCAGCAAUCAAUUUUCUUACUUUAUUUCAAGGCUUUGCAUAUGUCUUGCGCAGGAUCAAAGCAUAAUAUUGUCAUAUCUAUAUUUUUGUGAGUGAGCGAGUAAAUGAGUAAGUGACUAAGUGAGUUAAUUUAAAGAAAAAGAAGAAA
This is a long non-coding RNA of Solenopsis invicta (red fire ant), 2131 nucleotides long. RefSeq lists it as uncharacterized. The transcript is spliced from 2 exons. Lineage: Eukaryota; Metazoa; Arthropoda; Insecta; Hymenoptera; Formicidae. The record is from RefSeq and is a predicted model, not a curated record.